CCUACGGGAGGCAGCAGUGGGGAAUAUUGGGCAAUGGGCGCAAGCCUGACCCAGCAACGCCGCGUGAAGGAAGAAGGCUUUCGGGUUGUAAACUUCUUUUCUCAGGGACGAAGAAAGUGACGGUACCUGAGGAAUAAGCCACGGCUAACUACGUGCCAGGAGCCGCUGCAAUACGUAGGUGGCAAGCGUUAUCCGGAUUUAUUGGGUGUAAAGGGCGUGGAGGCGGGAGAGCAAGUCAGAUGUGAAAACUCAGGGCUCAACCCUGAGCCUGCAUUUGAAACUGUGUUUCUUGAGUGCUGGAGAGGCAAUCGGAAUUCGGGGUGUAGCGGUGAAAUGCGUAGAGAUACGGAGGAACACCAGUGGCGAAGGCGGAUUGCUGGACAGUAACUGACGCUGAGGCGCGAAAGCGUGGGGAGCAAACAGGAUUAGAUACCCUAGUAGUC
This 443-nucleotide ribosomal RNA is filed under the name uncultured bacterium. Its description in RNAcentral is "partial 16S ribosomal RNA". It matches the Rfam family "Bacterial small subunit ribosomal RNA", at positions 338 to 795 of the family's 1533-position model. The record is from RNAcentral.